AGUGAGAUAACUGGGUCAAUUGGUGGUUCCAUUCCAAGUUUUCUGAGGAAUAUCCAUACUGCUCUCCAGAGAGGUUGAACCAAUUUGCAGUCCUACCAGCAAU
This 103-nucleotide microRNA precursor is filed under the name Marmota monax (woodchuck). Lineage: Eukaryota; Metazoa; Chordata; Mammalia; Rodentia; Sciuridae. The record is from RNAcentral.